AUAUAAAUUGAUGGAAUGAUUUACAUCUCUAAUGGUAAAACUGACUAUUGUGUACCAAAACGAGUGAAAAUGUGACUUCUGAAAGAAAUUGACAAGUGGCUGACAGAUACCCAGGAAAGAGUCAGAAAAAGAACUUUUAUGGACAGUGGGAGGUUUGAGAACGCAAAUUGUUUUGCUUAUCCAAGGAAAGCUGAAAAGUGACAUGAAAUAGUAAGAGGUCAGAGGAGCCCAGGGAUCAAACACAAAGUGAUAUAACAUGAGCUAAUGGAUGGAAGCUGAACCAAGUCAGAUCCACUACAACAGCAAGACUGGAAAAGAACCAAGAGCACGUAAGUAACUUAAAGGAGUCCUGUCCUCCCUAGGACUGAGGCACAAGGAGUCACUUGCACAAUUUCUGGGUGGAGUAAGCCUCCCAGUCUCCAGGACUACUAACAUGACAUAUUCAAAAACACU
Long non-coding RNA from Athene cunicularia (burrowing owl), 453 nucleotides. RefSeq lists it as uncharacterized. The transcript is spliced from 3 exons. Lineage: Eukaryota; Metazoa; Chordata; Aves; Strigiformes; Strigidae. The record is from RefSeq and is a predicted model, not a curated record.